Molecule: ribosomal RNA, 292 nt
Filed under: uncultured bacterium
Lineage: Bacteria
Description: partial 16S ribosomal RNA
Rfam family: Bacterial small subunit ribosomal RNA
Source: RNAcentral
GUGCCAGCAGCCGCGGUAAUACGGAGGGUGCAAGCGUUGUCCGGAUUUAUUGGGUUUAAAGGGUGCGUAGGCGGCCCGUUAAGUCAGUGGUGAAAGCCUCCAGCUCAACUGGAGAACUGCCAUUGAUACUGACGGGCUUGAGUACAGACGAGGUUGGCGGAAUUGAUUGUGUAGCGGUGAAAUGCAUAGAUACAAUCAAGAACUCCGAUUGCGUAGGCAGCUAACUAGGCUGUAACUGACGCUGAGGCACGAAAGCGUGGGGAGCGAACAGGAUUAGAAACCCCCGUAGUCC